AACCGGAUUAGAUACCCUGGUAGUCACCGCCGUAAAACGAUGUCGACUUGGAGGUUGUUUCCUGAGGAGUGGCUUCCGGAGCUAACGCGUUAAGUCGACCGCCUGGGGAGUACGGCCGCAAGGUUAAAACUCAAAUGAAUUGACGGGGGCCCGCACAAGCGGUGGAGCAUGUGGUUUAAUUCGAUGCAACGCGAAGAACCUUACCUACUCUUGACAUCCAGCGAACUUUCCAGAGAUGGAUUGGUGCCUUCGGGAACGCUGAGACAGGUGCUGCAUGGCUGUCGUCAGCUCGUGUUGUGAAAUGUUGGGUUAAGUCCCGCAACGAGCGCAACCCUUAUCCUUUGUUGCCAGCGAUUCGGUCGGGAACUCAAAGGAGACUGCCGGUGAUAAACCGGAGGAAGGUGGGGAUGACGUCAAGUCAUCAUGGCCCUUACGAGUAGGGCUACACACGUGCUACAAUGGCGCAUACAAAGAGAAGCGACCUCGCGAGAGCAAGCGGACCUCACAAAGUGCGUCGUAGUCCGGAUCGGAGUCUGCAACUCGACUCCGUGAAUUUUU
RNAcentral lists this ribosomal RNA (558 nucleotides) under uncultured Pantoea sp. Its description in RNAcentral is "bacterial SSU rRNA". It matches the Rfam family "Bacterial small subunit ribosomal RNA", at positions 771 to 1329 of the family's 1533-position model. Lineage: Bacteria; Pseudomonadati; Pseudomonadota; Gammaproteobacteria; Enterobacterales; Erwiniaceae. The record is from RNAcentral.